CCUACGGGGGGCAGCAGUGGGGAAUAUUGCACAAUGGGGGAAACCCUGAUGCAGCGACGCCGCGUGAAGGAAGACGGUUUUCGGAUUGUAAAGUUCUGUUCUUAGUGAAGAAUAUUUACGUUAGCUAAUGAGCAAGCCCCGGCUAACUACUGGCCAGCAGCCGCGGUAAUACGUAGGUGGCAAGCGUUGUCCGUAUUUACUGGGUGUAAAGGAAGCGCAGGCGGGAAGACAAGUCAGGUGUGAAAACUACGGGCUUAACUCGUAGACUGCUGUGGAAACUGGCUGUCUGGAGUGAAGUAGAGGUAAGCGGAAUUCCGAGUGUAGCGGUGAAAUGCGUAGAUAUUCGGAGGAACACCGGUGGCGAAGGCGGCUAACUGGGCUUUAACUGACGCUGAGGCUCGAAAGCGUGGGGAGCAAACAGGAUUAGAUACCCGGGUAGUC
Molecule: ribosomal RNA, 441 nt
Filed under: uncultured bacterium
Lineage: Bacteria
Description: partial 16S ribosomal RNA
Rfam family: Bacterial small subunit ribosomal RNA
Source: RNAcentral